CUCUUCGGAGAGUAGCGGCGGACGGGUGAGUAACGCGUGGGUAACCUGCCCUGUACACACGGAUAACAUACCGAAAGGUAUACUAAUACGGGAUAACAUACGAAAGUCGCAUGGCUUUUGUAUCAAAGCUCCGGCGGUACAGGAUGGACCCGCGUCUGAUUAGCUAGUUGGUAAGGUAAUGGCUUACCAAGGCAACGAUCAGUAGCCGACCUGAGAGGGUGAUCGGCCACACUGGAACUGAGACACGGUCCAGACUCCUACGGGAGGCAGCAGUGGGGAAUAUUGCACAAUGGGCGAAAGCCUGAUGCAGCAACGCCGCGUGAGCGAUGAAGGCCUUCGGGUCGUAAAGCUCUGUCCUCAAGGAAGAUAAUGACGGUACUUGAGGAGGAAGCCCCGGCUAACUACGUGCCAGCAGCCGCGGUAAUACGUAGGGGGCUAGCGUUAUCCGGAAUUACUGGGCGUAAAGGGUGCGUAGGUGGUUUUUUAAGUCAGAAGUGAAAGGCUACGGCUCAACCGUAGUAAGCUUUUGAAACUAGAGAACUUGAGUGCAGGAGAGGAGAGUAGAAUUCCUAGUGUAGCGGUGAAAUGCGUAGAUAUUAGGAGGAAUACCAGUAGCGAAGGCGGCUCUCUGGACUGUAACUGACACUGAGGCACGAAAGCGUGGGGAGC
RNAcentral lists this ribosomal RNA (669 nucleotides) under uncultured Paraclostridium sp. RNAcentral's name for it is "bacterial SSU rRNA". It matches the Rfam family "Bacterial small subunit ribosomal RNA", at positions 72 to 769 of the family's 1533-position model. The record is from RNAcentral. Lineage: Bacteria; Bacillati; Bacillota; Clostridia; Peptostreptococcales; Peptostreptococcaceae.